Camelus dromedarius (Arabian camel) is the source of this 940-nucleotide long non-coding RNA. RefSeq lists it as uncharacterized. The transcript is spliced from 6 exons. Lineage: Eukaryota; Metazoa; Chordata; Mammalia; Artiodactyla; Camelidae. The record is from RefSeq and is a predicted model, not a curated record.
UUGUCUUUGUGAUGGUACAGCAUUUGUAAUUGCACCAUGAAGCAUGCUCAGAAAUACUAAAUUUGUCUCCCACUGGGAUGUGGAAGGUCCAUCUUCUGCUGAGAAGUGUGAAGUAGCUUUGAAGAAUCAAACAAAAAUCAAAGGUGGUUGCAGUUUGAGGAAACAUCGGAUCCUGUCACUGAAGAAAAAGCAAAGCAAAUCCAAAAAGAAAUAGGAACAAGAGACACUUCUUCAGGGAUGUCAACAGUAGACAAUAUUGGCUGGUUUUGAUAUUAUAUUCAGAAAUAUGAAUCUGAAAUCAAUUGCCAAUGCCCUGAGAUUGAAAAAAAUUUGACUUAAAAUUGGGAGAAAAUAUAUGUGUCCUGUAGAAGUCAGACAUUUGUUCUGUGUGAUGGCAUCUUGGUGGAGCUGACCUGACAGUAGUAGCCUAAGCCUACAGCCUGCCAAUAAGAAGCAUUUUCACUGCAGGGAUGCCCAGAGAAAGUGUUAACCACAUCAGAGAUGGCAGCAUUUACUACAAAUGGGGUAGCACUGAUUUUUCAGGACACGCGGCCCUAGAGUUAUUGAGAGCCAUCCAGACCCUCCGCCUGCUGUUCUGCACUUGCUGCGCGGAGCGUGCACUUUAAGGAACAGACCUGAAUAUCAAGAAAGAGAAAACCGGUUUAUUGGAAGACCUCAAAAGACUGAAGCAAGACAAGCAAGCUCUUGAAGCAGACUUGGGAAAAAUGAAGACAGAGACCAAGCCAGAGAGCAGGUGCAUGCACCUCAUGGAGCACGCCGAGCUGGGAUAGUCACUUUAUACUCGUAACUGUUCUGAACUUGAGUUCUGUCUGCCAUCUGCAGCCCACAUCCACACUGCUCACCUGUGUCAGACCACCUUCCAUCUAUAAACAUUUUCAGUGGGACAGUUGGAUGAGAACUAAUUACAGCAGUCAUGAAA